GAUCCCGUAGUGUAGUUGGCCUAGCACGUAGGAUUUUGAUGUUUUCUCAUUCCUGAUUAUUCCUGAGUCCCCGGUUCGAGUCCGGGCGGGAUCU
This is a non-coding RNA of Diaporthe citri, 94 nucleotides long. Lineage: Eukaryota; Fungi; Ascomycota; Sordariomycetes; Diaporthales; Diaporthaceae. The record is from the annotation of a RefSeq genome assembly.